GGGUGUGAUCAUACCAGUACUAAAGCACCGAAUUCC
RNAcentral lists this ribosomal RNA (36 nucleotides) under Prospero autumnale (starry hyacinth). The record is from RNAcentral. Lineage: Eukaryota; Viridiplantae; Streptophyta; Magnoliopsida; Asparagales; Asparagaceae.